UACGGAAGGCAGCAGUGGGGAAUAUUGCACAAUGGGCGAAAGCCUGAUGCAGCUAUGCCGCGUGUAUGAAGAAGGCCUUAGGGUUGUAAAGUACUUUCAUCGGGGAGGAAAAACAAAACUAAUAAUUUUAUUUCUUGACGUUACCCGAAAAAGAAGCACCGGCUAACUCCGUGCCAGCAGCCGCGGUAAUACGGAGGGUGCUAGCGUUAAUCAGAAUUACUGGGCGUAAAGAGCACGUAGGUGGUUUUUUUAAGUCAGAUGUGAAAUCCCUGGACUUAACCUAGGAACUGCAUUUUGAAACUGAAAUACUAGAGUAUCGUAGAGGGAGGUAGAAUUCUAGGUGUAGCGGUGAAAUGCGUAGAUAUCUGGAGGAAUACCUGUGGCGAAAGCGGCCUCCUAAACGAAUACUGACACUGAGGUGCGAAAGCGUGGGGAGCAAACGAGGGAUUAGAUA
RNAcentral lists this ribosomal RNA (454 nucleotides) under uncultured bacterium. RNAcentral describes it as "bacterial SSU rRNA". It matches the Rfam family "Bacterial small subunit ribosomal RNA", at positions 340 to 784 of the family's 1533-position model. The record is from RNAcentral.